UACAGAGGUCUCAAGCGUUGUUCGGAUUCAUUGGGCGUAAAGGGUGCGUAGGCGGCGCGGUAAGUCGGGUGUGAAAUCUCGGAGCUUAACUCCGAAACUGCAUUCGAUACUGCCGUGCUUGAGGACUGGAGAGGAGACUGGAAUUUACGGUGUAGCGGUGAAAUGCGUAGAUAUCGUAAGGAAGACCAGUGGCGAAGGCGGGUCUCUGGACAGUUCCUGACGCUGAUGCACGAAGGCCAGGGGAGCAAACGGG
Molecule: ribosomal RNA, 253 nt
Filed under: uncultured bacterium
Lineage: Bacteria
Description: partial 16S ribosomal RNA
Rfam family: Bacterial small subunit ribosomal RNA
Source: RNAcentral